This 64-nucleotide transfer RNA is filed under the name Cucujoidea sp. 7 KM-2017. RNAcentral describes it as "tRNA-Gly". Lineage: Eukaryota; Metazoa; Arthropoda; Insecta; Coleoptera. The record is from RNAcentral.
AUUUGUAUAGUAUAAAAAUUAUAAAUGAUUUCCAAUCAUAAGAUCUAUUUAAAUAGUACAAAUA